Molecule: ribosomal RNA, 519 nt
Filed under: Triticum aestivum (bread wheat)
Lineage: Eukaryota; Viridiplantae; Streptophyta; Magnoliopsida; Poales; Poaceae
Description: partial small subunit ribosomal RNA
Source: RNAcentral
AUGUGUGUACCCAAACUAUGGGGUGGUAUGGGAUUCCGUGAUAUACAUAGUUUCAACCUUGCGAUGCUUGCCAAACAGUGUUGGCGGCUAAUUGAGAACUAUGACUCUUUAUGUGCAAAGGUAUUGAGAGCAAAGUACUACCCUUCUGGUGACAUUCUGAAUUGUGCUCUAAAAAGGGGAUCAUCUUAUGUAUGGCAAAGCAUAUGGUCAGGUAUCCAAACAUUUAAAAAUGGAUGCAUCUGGAGAGUGGGAAACGGAUUGAAAAUCAAUAUUUGGGAUGAUUGUUGGAUUCCAAAUAGCAACUCGAGGAAGAUAAUUACCCCUAGAGGUAACUGUAUUCUCACUACAGUAAAUGAACUUAUUGAUCCUUCUAAUGGUGAAUGGGAUGAAAUUUUGAUCAGGGAUAACUUCUGGCCCAUUGAUGCAGAAAGGAUACUGCAGAUUCCGAUGUAUCACAAUGACACGGAGGAUUUUAUAGCCUGGCAUCUCACCAAGUCAGGCAUUUUUAGCGUCCGAUCA